RNAcentral lists this ribosomal RNA (531 nucleotides) under Arsenophonus endosymbiont of Colletes halophilus. RNAcentral's name for it is "bacterial SSU rRNA". It matches the Rfam family "Bacterial small subunit ribosomal RNA", at positions 434 to 957 of the family's 1533-position model. Lineage: Bacteria; Pseudomonadati; Pseudomonadota; Gammaproteobacteria; Enterobacterales; Morganellaceae. The record is from RNAcentral.
UUUCAGUCGUGAGGAAGGUGUUAGGGUUAAUAACCUUAGCAAUUGACGUUAGCGACAGAAGAAGCACCGGCUAACUCCGUGCCAGCAGCCGCGGUAAUACGGAGGGUGCGAGCGUUAAUCGGAAUUACUGGGCGUAAAGGGCACGCAGGCGGUUAAUUAAGUUGGAUGUGAAAUCCCCGGGCUUAACCUGGGAAUGGCAUUCAAGACUGGUUAGCUAGAGUCUUGUAGAGGGGGGUAGAAUUCCAUGUGUAGCGGUGAAAUGCGUAGAGAUGUGGAGGAAUACCGGUGGCGAAGGCGGCCCCCUGGACAAAGACUGACGCUCAUGUGCGAAAGCGUGGGGAGCAAACAGGAUUAGAUACCCUGGUAGUCCACGCUGUAAACGAUGUCGAUUUGGAGGUUGUGGUCAAGAACUGUGGCCUCCGGAGCUAACGCGUUAAAUCGACCGCCUGGGGAGUACGGCCGCAAGGUUAAAACUCAAAUGAAUUGACGGGGGCCCGCACAAGCGGUGGAGCAUGUGGUUUAAUUCGAUGC